AGUGAACGCUGGCGGUAGGCCUAACACAUGCAAGUCGAACGGCAGCACAGUAAGAGCUUGCUCUUACGGGUGGCGAGUGGCGGACGGGUGAGGAAUACAUCGGAAUCUACUUUUUCGUGGGGGAUAGCGUAGGGAAACUUACGCUAAUACCGCAUACGACCUACGGGUGAAAGCAGGGGAUCUUCGGACCUUGCGCGAUUGAAUGAGCCGAUGUCGGAUUAGCUAGUUGGCGGGGUAAAGGCCCACCAAGGCGACGAUCCGUAGCUGGUCUGAGAGGAUGAUCAGCCACACUGGAACUGAGACACGGUCCAGACUCCUACGGGAGGCAGCAGUGGGGAAUAUUGGACAAUGGGCGCAAGCCUGAUCCAGCCAUACCGCGUGGGUGAAGAAGGCCUUCGGGUUGUAAAGCCCUUUUGUUGGGAAAGAAAAGCAGCAGGUUAAUACCCCGCUGUUCUGACGGUACCCAAAGAAUAAGCACCGGCUAACUUCG
Molecule: ribosomal RNA, 490 nt
Filed under: uncultured bacterium
Lineage: Bacteria
Description: partial 16S ribosomal RNA
Rfam family: Bacterial small subunit ribosomal RNA
Source: RNAcentral